GACGAACGCUGGCGGCGUGCUUAACACAUGCAAGUCGAACGGAAAGGCCCUGCUUUUGUGGGGUGCUCGAGUGGCGAACGGGUGAGUAACACGUGAGUAACCUGCCCUUGACUUUGGGAUAACUUCAGGAAACUGGGGCUAAUACCGGAUAGGAGCUCCUGCUGCAUGGUGGGGGUUGGAAAGUUUCGGCGGUUGGGGAUGGACUCGCGGCUUAUCAGCUUGUUGGUGGGGUAGUGGCUUACCAAGGCUUUGCCGGGUAGCCGGCCUGAGAGGUUGACCGGCCACAUUGGGACUGAGAUACGGCCCAGACUCCUACGGGAGGCAGCAGUGGGGAAUAUUGCACAAUGGGCGGAAGCCUGAUGCAGCAACGCCGCGUGCGGGAUGACGGCCUUCGGGUUGUAAACCGCUUUCGCCUGUGACGAAGCGUGAGUGACGGUAAUGGGUAAAGAAGCACCGGCUAACUACGUG
RNAcentral lists this ribosomal RNA (468 nucleotides) under uncultured bacterium. Its description in RNAcentral is "partial 16S ribosomal RNA". It matches the Rfam family "Bacterial small subunit ribosomal RNA", at positions 28 to 507 of the family's 1533-position model. The record is from RNAcentral.